This 506-nucleotide ribosomal RNA is filed under the name uncultured bacterium. RNAcentral's name for it is "partial 16S ribosomal RNA". It matches the Rfam family "Bacterial small subunit ribosomal RNA", at positions 30 to 523 of the family's 1533-position model. The record is from RNAcentral.
AUUGAACGCUAACGGCGUGCUUAACACAUGCAAGUCGAGCGGCAGCAUGAUUGUAGCAAUACACUUGAUGGCGAGCGGCGGACGGGUGAGUAAUAUAUAGGAAUCUGCCUUGUAGUGAGGGAUAACCCGGGGAAACUCGGGCUAAUACCGCAUAAUCUUUACGGAGCAAAGUGGGGGAUCGUAAGACCUCACGCUACAAGAUGAGCCGAUAUUGGAUUAGCUAGUUGGUAGGGUAAAGGCCUACCAAGGCAACGAUCCAUAGCUGGUCUGAGAGGAUGAUCAGCCACACUGGGACUGAGACACGGCCCAGACUCCUACGGGAGGCAGCAGUGGGGAAUAUUGGACAAUGGGCGAAAGCCUGAUCCAGCAACGCCGUGUGUGUGAAGAAGGCCUUCGGGUUGUAAAGCACUUUUAGUGGGGAAGAAAAGCUCAUGGCUAAUAACCAUGAGUGAUGACGUUACCCACAGAAAAAGCACUGGCUAACUCUGUGCCAGCCGCCGCAGUAA